UACAGAGGUCUCAAGCGUUGUUCGGAUUCAUUGGGCGUAAGGGGUGUGUAGGUGGCGCGCUAAGUCGGGUGUGAAAUUUCGGAGCUUAACUCCGAAACUGCAUUCGAUACUGGCGUGCUUGAGGACUGGAGAGGAGACUGGAAUUCAUGGUGUAGCAGUGAAAUGCGUAGAGAUCAUGAGGAAGACCAGUGGCGAAGGCGGGUCUCUGGACAGUUCCUGACACUGAGACACGAAGGCCAGGGGAGCAAACGGG
RNAcentral lists this ribosomal RNA (253 nucleotides) under uncultured bacterium. Its description in RNAcentral is "partial 16S ribosomal RNA". It matches the Rfam family "Bacterial small subunit ribosomal RNA", at positions 524 to 776 of the family's 1533-position model. The record is from RNAcentral.